UACGUAGGUGGCAAGCGUUGUCCGGAAUUAUUGGGCGUAAAGCGCGCGCAGGCGGUCUUUUAAGUCUGAUGUGAAAGCCCACGGCUCAACCGUGGAAGGUCAUUGGAAACUGGGAGACUUGAGUACAGAAGAGGAAAGCGGAAUUCCACGUGUAGCGGUGAAAUGCGUAGAGAUGUGGAGGAACACCAGUGGCGAAGGCGGCUUUCUGGUCUGUAACUGACGCUGAGGCGCGAAAGCGUGGGGAGCAAACAGG
Molecule: ribosomal RNA, 253 nt
Filed under: uncultured bacterium
Lineage: Bacteria
Description: partial 16S ribosomal RNA
Rfam family: Bacterial small subunit ribosomal RNA
Source: RNAcentral